RNAcentral lists this ribosomal RNA (489 nucleotides) under Wickerhamiella azyma. RNAcentral describes it as "partial large subunit ribosomal RNA". It matches the Rfam family "Eukaryotic large subunit ribosomal RNA", at positions 90 to 593 of the family's 3401-position model. The record is from RNAcentral. Lineage: Eukaryota; Fungi; Ascomycota; Dipodascomycetes; Dipodascales; Trichomonascaceae.
CGAGUGACGGCAAAAGCUCAAAUUUGAAAUCUGCCUUACGGCCGAGUUGUAAUUUGUAGAUGGUAACUCUGUGGCAAGCCUUUGCUCAAGUUUUCUGGAAAGAAACAUCAUGGAGGGUGACAAUCCCGUGAGGCAUUGGUGCAGCUACGUGUAGAGUGCUAUCAAAGAGUCGAGUUGUUUGGGAAUGCAGCUCAAAGUGGGUGGUAGACACCAUCUAAAGCUAAAUAUUGGCGAGAGACCGAUAGCGAACAAGUACUGUGAAGGAAAGAUGAAAAGCACUUUGAAAAGAGAGUGAAAAAGUACGUGAAAUUAUUGAUACAGAAGGGUAUAAAAUUGGACUCAAGGUCUAGGUUCGGUAGCCUCUCGGGGUUGCUUUGUCCUAGGCCCUAAACCAGCAUCAGUUUUGGCAGGUGGAUAAACAACAUGGAAUGUAGCUGCUUGCAGUGUUAUAGACUUGUUGCAUACACCUUGCUGGGACUGAGGACCGCC